UAUGGCUCAGGAUGAACGCUAGCGGCAGGCUUAACACAUGCAAGUCGAGGGGCAGCGCGAGUAGCAAUACUUGGCGGCGACCGGCGCAAGGGUGCGUAACGCGUGAGCAACAUGCCCGUAUCAGGGGGAUAAUCCAGGGAAACUUGGUCUAAUACCCCAUAGUAAUUUUUGUAAGGCAUCUUAUAAGAUUUAAAGCUUUGGUGGAUACGGAUUGGCUCGCGUGACAUUAGCUGGAUGGUAAGGUAACGGCUUACCAUGGCUAUGAUGUCUAGGGGUUCUGAGAGGAAGGUCCCCCACACUGGAACUGAGACACGGUCCAGACUCCUACGGGAGGCAGCAGUGAGGAAUAUUGGACAAUGGAUGGAAAUCUGAUCCAGCCAUGCCGCGUGAAAGGAAGAAGGUCCUAUGGAUUGUAAACUUCUUUUGUAUGGGAGCAAUAAGGCCUACGAGUAGGUUGAUGAGAGUACCAUACGAAUAAGCACCGGCUAACUCCGUGCCAGCCGCCGC
RNAcentral lists this ribosomal RNA (507 nucleotides) under uncultured bacterium. RNAcentral's name for it is "bacterial SSU rRNA". It matches the Rfam family "Bacterial small subunit ribosomal RNA", at positions 18 to 518 of the family's 1533-position model. The record is from RNAcentral.